This 274-nucleotide ribosomal RNA is filed under the name uncultured Citrobacter sp. RNAcentral describes it as "partial 16S ribosomal RNA". It matches the Rfam family "Bacterial small subunit ribosomal RNA", at positions 524 to 796 of the family's 1533-position model. Lineage: Bacteria; Pseudomonadati; Pseudomonadota; Gammaproteobacteria; Enterobacterales; Enterobacteriaceae. The record is from RNAcentral.
UACAUAGGGGGCAAGCGUUGUCCGGAAUGACUGGGCGUAAAGGGUGUGUAGGCGGUUUCGCAAGUUGGAAGUGUAAUACCUAGAGCUUAACUCAGGUGCUGCUUCCAAAACUGCGAGACUUGAGUGUCGGAGAGGAAAAUGGAAUUCCUAGUGUAGCGGUGGAAUGCGUAGAUAUUAGGAGGAACACCAGAGGCGAAAGCGAUUUUCUGGACGAUAACUGACGCUGAGGCACGAAAGCGUGGGGAGCAAACAGGAUUAGAAACCCCAGUAGUCC